CCUGACUGCUAUCGGAUUGAUACUAAGCCAUGCGAGUCAUUGUAGUAAUACAAGGCAGACGGCUCAGUAACGCGUAGUCAACCUACCCUAUGGACGAGGAUAAUCUCGGGAAACUGAGAAUAAUACUCGAUAGACCAUUAUGCCUGGAACGGUUUAUGGUUAAAAUGAUUCGUCGCCAUAGGAUGGGACUGCGGCCUAUCAGCUUGUUGGUGAGGUAAUGGCCCACCAAGGCGAUUACAGGUACGGGCUCUGAGAGGAGAAGCCCGGAGAUGGGUACUGAGACAAGGACCCAGGCCCUAUGGGGCGCAGCAGGCGAGAAAACUUUGCAAUGUGCGAAAGCACGACAAGGUUAGUCCGAGUGAUUUCUGCUAAAGAAAUCUUUUGCAAGUUAUAAAACCACUAGUGAAUAAGGGGUGGGCAAGUUCUGGUGUCAGCCGCCGCGGUAAAACCAGCACCUCAAGUGGUCAGGAUGAUUAUUGGGCCUAAAGCAUCCGUAGCCUGCUCUGUUAGUUUUCGGUUAAAUCCAUGUGCUCAACACAUGGGCUGCCGAAAAUACUGCAGGGCUAGGGAGUGGGAGAGGUAGACGGUACUCAGUAGGAAGGGGUAAAAUCCUUUGAUCUAUUGAUGACCACCUGUGGCGAAGGCGGUCUACCAGAACACGUUCGACGGUGAGGGAUGAAAGCUGGGGGAGCAAACCGGAUUAGAUACCCGGGUAGUCCCAGCUGUAAACGAUGCGGACUCGAUGAUGCAUUGGCUUAUUGCCAAUGCAGUGUCGCAGGGAAGCCGUUAAGUCUGCCGCCUGGGAAGUACGUACGCAAGUAUGAAACUUAAAGGAAUUGGCGGGGGAGCACCACAAGGGGUGAAGCCUGCGGUUC
This 875-nucleotide ribosomal RNA is filed under the name uncultured crenarchaeote. Its description in RNAcentral is "bacterial SSU rRNA". It matches the Rfam family "Archaeal small subunit ribosomal RNA", at positions 21 to 903 of the family's 1478-position model. The record is from RNAcentral. Lineage: Archaea; Thermoproteati; Thermoproteota.